This 393-nucleotide ribosomal RNA is filed under the name uncultured bacterium. RNAcentral describes it as "partial 16S ribosomal RNA". It matches the Rfam family "Bacterial small subunit ribosomal RNA", at positions 523 to 918 of the family's 1533-position model. The record is from RNAcentral.
AUACGGAGGAUGCGAGCGUUAUCCGGAUUUAUUGGGUUUAAAGGGAGCGUAGGUGGGAUAUUAAGUCAGCUGUGAAAGUUUGGGGCUCAACCUUAAAAUUGCAGUUGAUACUGGUUUCCUUGAGUACGGUACAGGUGUGCGGAAUUCGUGGUGUAGCGGUGAAAUGCUUAGAUAUCACGAAGAACUCCGAUCGCGAAGGCAGCUCACCGGGCCGGAACUGACACUGAUGCUCGAAAGUGCGGGUAUCAAACAGGAUUAGAUACCCUGGUAGUCCGCACAGUAAACGAUGAAUACUCGCUGUUUGCGAUACACUGUAAGCGGCCAAGCGAAAGCGUUAAGUAUUCCACCUGGGGAGUACGCCGGCAACGGUGAAACUCAAAGGAAUUGACGGGG